GGCUGAAACUCGCCUUCACGAAGUCGGAAUUGCUAGUAAUGGCAGGUCAGCAUACUGCCGUGAAUACGUUCCCGGGCCUUGUACACACCGCCCGUCACACCAUGAGAGUUAGGAAUACCCGAAGCCUGUGAGCCAACUUUUCAAGAGGCAGCAGUCGAAGGUAGAACUAAUGAUUGGGGUGAAGUCGUAACAAGGUAUC
RNAcentral lists this ribosomal RNA (199 nucleotides) under uncultured bacterium. RNAcentral's name for it is "partial 16S ribosomal RNA". It matches the Rfam family "Bacterial small subunit ribosomal RNA", at positions 1303 to 1500 of the family's 1533-position model. The record is from RNAcentral.